This 459-nucleotide ribosomal RNA is filed under the name Gemella morbillorum. RNAcentral describes it as "bacterial SSU rRNA". It matches the Rfam family "Bacterial small subunit ribosomal RNA", at positions 28 to 474 of the family's 1533-position model. Lineage: Bacteria; Bacillati; Bacillota; Bacilli; Caryophanales; Gemellaceae. The record is from RNAcentral.
GACGAACGCUGGCGGCGUGCCUAAUACAUGCAAGUCGAGCGAAGUUUUUCUGGUGCUUGCACUAGAAAAACUUAGCGGCGAACGGGUGAGUAACACGUAAAGAACCUGCCUCAUAGACUGGGACAACUAUUGGAAACGAUAGCUAAUACCGGAUAACAAUAUUUUUCGCAUGAAAGAUACUUAAAAGUUGGUUAUGCUAACACUAUGAGAUGGCUUUGCGGUGCAUUAGCUAGUUGGUGGGGUAAAGGCCCACCAAGGCGACGAUGCAUAGCCGACCUGAGAGGGUGAUCGGCCACACUGGGACUGAGACACGGCCCAGACUCCUACGGGAGGCAGCAGUAGGGAAUCUUCCGCAAUGGGCGAAAGCCUGACGGAGCAACGCCGCGUGAGUGAAGAAGGAUUUCGGUUCGUAAAGCUCUGUUGUUAGGGAAGAAUGGAUAUGUAGUAACUAUACAUAUA